RNAcentral lists this ribosomal RNA (446 nucleotides) under uncultured bacterium. RNAcentral's name for it is "partial 16S ribosomal RNA". It matches the Rfam family "Bacterial small subunit ribosomal RNA", at positions 338 to 795 of the family's 1533-position model. The record is from RNAcentral.
CCUACGGGCGGCAGCAGUCGAGAAUCAUUCACAAUGGGGGAAACCCUGAUGGUGCGACGCCGCGUGGGGGAAUGAAGGUCUUCGGAUUGUAAACCCCUGUCAUGUGGGAGCAAAUUAAAAAGAUAGUACCACAAGAGGAAGAGACGGCUAACUCUGUGCCAGCAGCCGCGGUAAUACAGAGGUCUCAAGCGUUGUUCGGAAUCACUGGGCGUAAAGCGUGCGUAGGCUGUUUCGUAAGUCGUGUGUGAAAGGCCCGGGCUCAACCCGCGGACGGCACAUGAUACUGCGAGACUAGAGUAAUGGAGGGGGAACCGGAAUUCUCGGUGUAGCAGUGAAAUGCGUAGAUAUCGAGAGGAACACUCGUGGCGAAGGCGGGUUCCUGGACAUUAACUGACGCUGAGGCACGAAGGCUAGGGGAGCGAAAGGGAUUAGAUACCCGAGUAGUC